Molecule: ribosomal RNA, 251 nt
Filed under: uncultured bacterium
Lineage: Bacteria
Description: partial 16S ribosomal RNA
Rfam family: Bacterial small subunit ribosomal RNA
Source: RNAcentral
ACGGGGGGUGCAAGCGUUGUUCGGAAUCAUUGGGCGUAAAGCGCGUGUAGGCGGCUUGGUAAGUCAGGUGUGAAAGCCCUGGGCUCAACCCAGGAAGUGCACUUGAUACUGUCUUGCUUGAGUACGGGAGAGGAAAGCGGAAUUCCUGGUGUAGAGGUGAAAUUCGUAGAUAUCAGGAGGAACACCGGUGGCGAAGGCGGCUUUCUGGCCCGAUACUGACGCUGAGACGCGAAAGCGUGGGGAGCAAACAG